Molecule: ribosomal RNA, 691 nt
Filed under: Streptomyces sp. YIM 65404
Lineage: Bacteria; Bacillati; Actinomycetota; Actinomycetes; Kitasatosporales; Streptomycetaceae
Description: bacterial SSU rRNA
Rfam family: Bacterial small subunit ribosomal RNA
Source: RNAcentral
UGCAAGUCGAACGAUGAACCGCUUUCGGGCGGGGAUUAGUGGCGAACGGGUGAGUAACACGUGGGCAAUCUGCCCUGCACUCUGGGACAAGCCCUGGAAACGGGGUCUAAUACCGGAUAUGACUGUCCAUCGCAUGGUGGAUGGUGUAAAGCUCCGGCGGUGCAGGAUGAGCCCGCGGCCUAUCAGCUUGUUGGUGAGGUAGUGGCUCACCAAGGCGACGACGGGUAGCCGGCCUGAGAGGGCGACCGGCCACACUGGGACUGAGACACGGCCCAGACUCCUACGGGAGGCAGCAGUGGGGAAUAUUGCACAAUGGGCGAAAGCCUGAUGCAGCGACGCCGCGUGAGGGAUGACGGCCUUCGGGUUGUAAACCUCUUUCAGCAGGGAAGAAGCGAAAGUGACGGUACCUGCAGAAGAAGCGCCGGCUAACUACGUGCCAGCAGCCGCGGUAAUACGUAGGGCGCAAGCGUUGUCCGGAAUUAUUGGGCGUAAAGAGCUCGUAGGCGGCUUGUCACGUCGGUUGUGAAAGCCCGGGGCUUAACCCCGGGUCUGCAGUCGAUACGGGCAGGCUAGAGUUCGGUAGGGGAGAUCGGAAUUCCUGGUGUAGCGGUGAAAUGCGCAGAUAUCAGGAGGAACACCGGUGGCGAAGGCGGAUCUCUGGGCCGAUACUGACGCUGAGGAGCGAAAGCGU